UUCCUAUCAUAACAGGUUUCAGCUCUGGUUAGGACGAGGUCCUCCUCUUGUUUCUAAUGCGGCCGUGGGCGUACAUAUGGGCGUUGCUGGGCCCUUCCCACCUUCCGGCCUAAAGAGAGCCGGGCCUUCGACUUUGCUCGAGUUAGGGCGAGGUUCUCCUUCUAUCCCUAACAGGGCUGUGGGGGCGCAUAUGGGCGUUGCAGGGCCUCUCCCCCCAUC
This 219-nucleotide long non-coding RNA is filed under the name Elaeis guineensis (African oil palm). Its description in RNAcentral is "long non-coding RNA (EGUI_LNC069901)". The record is from RNAcentral. Lineage: Eukaryota; Viridiplantae; Streptophyta; Magnoliopsida; Arecales; Arecaceae.